This 518-nucleotide ribosomal RNA is filed under the name Orbilia oligospora. RNAcentral describes it as "SSU rRNA". It matches the Rfam family "Eukaryotic small subunit ribosomal RNA", at positions 55 to 568 of the family's 1831-position model. Lineage: Eukaryota; Fungi; Ascomycota; Orbiliomycetes; Orbiliales; Orbiliaceae. The record is from RNAcentral.
GGGCUUGGGUCUGGUGGGGGGGCAGACUGUAACCGCGAAACUGCGAAUGGCUCAUUAAAUCAGUUAUAGUUUAUUUGAUAGUACCUUACUACAUGGAUAACCGUGGUAAUUCUAGAGCUAAUACAUGCUAAAAACCCCGACUUCGGAAGGGGUGUAUUUAUUAGAUUAAAAACCAAUGCCCUUCGGGGCUAACUGGUGAUUCAUAAUAACUUCUCGAAUCGCAUGGCCUUGCGCUGGCGAUGGUUCAUUCAAAUUUCUGCCCUAUCAACUUUCGACGGCUGGGUCUUGGCCAGCCAUGGUGACAACGGGUAACGGAGGGUUAGGGCUCGACCCCGGAGAAGGAGCCUGAGAAACGGCUACUACAUCCAAGGAAGGCAGCAGGCGCGCAAAUUACCCAAUCCCGACACGGGGAGGUAGUGACAAUAAAUACUGAUACAGGGCUCUUUUGGGUCUUGUAAUUGGAAUGAGUACAAUUUAAAUCCCUUAACGAGGAACAAUUGGAGGGCAAGUCUGCCCCC